RNAcentral lists this ribosomal RNA (468 nucleotides) under uncultured bacterium. Its description in RNAcentral is "partial 16S ribosomal RNA". It matches the Rfam family "Bacterial small subunit ribosomal RNA", at positions 28 to 507 of the family's 1533-position model. The record is from RNAcentral.
GACGAACGCUGGCGGCGUGCUUAACACAUGCAAGUCGAACGGAAAGGCCCUGCUUUUGUGGGGUGCUCGAGUGGCGAACGGGUGAGUAACACGUGAGUAACCUGCCCUUGACUUUGGGAUAACUUCAGGAAACUGGGGCUAAUACCGGAUAGGAGCUCCUGCUGCAUGGUGGGGGUUGGAAAGAUUCGGCGGUUGGGGAUGGACUCGCGGCUUAUCAGCUUGUUGGUGGGGUAGUGGCUUACCAAGGCUUUGACGGGUAGCCGGCCUGAGAGGGUGACCGGCCACAUUGGGACUGAGAUACGGCCCAGAAUCCUACGGGAGGCAGCAGUGGAGAAUAUUGCACAAUGGGCGGAAGCCUGAUACAGCCACGCCGCGUGCGGGAUAACGGCCUUCGGGUUGUAAACCGAUUUCGCCUGUGACGAGGCGAGAGUGACGGUAAUGGGUCAGAAAGCACCGGCUAACUACGUG